GACGAACGCUGGCGGCGUGCUUAACACAUGCAAGUCGAACGGAAAGGCCCUGCUUUUGUGGGGUGCUCGAGUGGCGAGCGGGUGAGUAACACGUGAGUAACCUGCCCUUGACUUUGGGAUAACUUCAGGAAACUGGGGCUAAUACCGGAUAGGAGCUCCUGCUGCAUGGUGGGGGUUGGAAAGUUUCGGCGGUUGGGGAUGGACUCGCGGCUUAUCAGCUUGUUGGUGGGGUAGUGGCUUACCAAGGCUUUGACGGGUAGCCGGCCUGAGAGGGUGACCGGCCACAUUGGGACUGGGAUACGGCCCAGACUCCUACGGGAGGCAGCAGUGGGGAAUAUUGCACAAUGGGCGGAAGCCUGAUGCAGCAACGCCGCGUGCGGGAUGACGGCCUUCGGGUUGUAAACCGCUUUCGCCUGUGACGAAGCGUGAGGGACGGUAAUGGGUAAAGAAGCACCGGCUAACUACGG
RNAcentral lists this ribosomal RNA (467 nucleotides) under uncultured bacterium. RNAcentral describes it as "partial 16S ribosomal RNA". It matches the Rfam family "Bacterial small subunit ribosomal RNA", at positions 28 to 506 of the family's 1533-position model. The record is from RNAcentral.